AAUAAGUGCAGCCAUGAGUUUCCGUGUUUAACUUUGAUCGUCCAUCUUAUUUAAAAUUUUACUUUACUCGUUACUUAUGUUUUUAAUUUUUUUUAAAUUUUUUUUAAAUAGAUGAAUGGUUAAAGUUGGACGUGGAAAAUUAUGGCUGCACUUAUU
Oryza glaberrima (African rice) is the source of this 156-nucleotide non-coding RNA. Lineage: Eukaryota; Viridiplantae; Streptophyta; Magnoliopsida; Poales; Poaceae. The record is from Rfam.